CGCGGUGGCUCUCCGAGGUCGGACGGCCCUGAGUGCGCGGAAGGCGAGUGCCGUGAUUGAAUCGUCUCAGCUACCCCCCAUUUCCGGUUCUUACACUAUUUACGGGACACCCUGUAUAAGUAUACAUGUUAUCACGAGAGAAAUUAGGCAUAUUGCACAGGGUUCUGAGAGUUAUAGCACGCAACUCUAAAGUUAUUGUACAUCAAUUUGGGAAACUGCAUAUAUUCAUAAGAAGUACGAGUUCUUGACACAAGUAAAAGAACAGACUGGAGUACUGGACAAAAUAGCAAGUGUCUACCAAAAGUACCUAGAAUAUGGUAUUUACAUCCGGAAUGCUUUCCAAAAUUAAAAAAUCUCAAUAAUCGUACCGUGUUGAAGCACUUGGAACUUGUGGAAGAGAAACACGGAACAUCUAUGUAUAAACACCGCCAGUAUAAAUUAUUGGAAGUCAUUAGAAGUGAUAACGGAUGUUGGAAAAUUUUUGUACAAUAUUAUUUUGAACGAUAUAAUACUUAAACCCGAUAUGGGUUAAAGGAUCGAUUCCUGCUUUUUACACGCUAUUCAGAAACAAAGGAAACUAUUUAAUGGAACAGAUUAAACCCCAUCCUUUUGUGUCGAAAUUGUACAAAGAGGCGCAAAUUGAAACCCUGACGUUCAAUUCAAUUCAAUUCAAUUCAAUUCAAUUUUUCUGCCUUCUCGUUGCCCAUCGCGCCCUUGGACUUCGAUUCACUGCGGAGGAUUUCUUUUGACAAGAACGGAUUUUGCACGAAUUACAGACCAAACAGUGAGCUUAUAUUUUUAAUUAAGCUAGGUUCGAGGAAAACGAAUGUUUCUUGGAACAAGCUUCAAAAGACACCAUUUAUACACAGUUAUAUCCAAUAUUCGACUCGUUAAAUCAGCUCAGUUCAAUUCCUUGGGUUAUUAAUUCCGCUAUACUUGACAUAGUCAUGAAAAUAUUCCAGGAUGGUGGCUCUGUGGAAUUAUGUGUUCCACAAUCGGUUUCUAAGUUAAGUCCUCCACCAACUACUAUUAACAAAGACGCAACUCCAAAAGAGAAACGAAGCACAGCGAUAGUGUUGGGUUUUAUGGUGAAACAAAUCACACCGUA
This is a long non-coding RNA of Colletes gigas, 1108 nucleotides long. RefSeq lists it as uncharacterized. NCBI's taxonomy places the organism in Eukaryota, Metazoa, Arthropoda, Insecta, Hymenoptera, Colletidae. The record is from RefSeq and is a predicted model, not a curated record. The transcript has 6 exons.